This 117-nucleotide small RNA is filed under the name Salmonella enterica. RNAcentral's name for it is "partial RtT sRNA". It matches the Rfam family "RtT RNA", at positions 1 to 116 of the family's 130-position model. Rfam says of the family: This family represents a bacterial cis-regulatory element known as RtT RNA. The exact function of RtT is unknown although it is thought that it may be involved in changing the cellular response in relation to amino acid starvation. Lineage: Bacteria; Pseudomonadati; Pseudomonadota; Gammaproteobacteria; Enterobacterales; Enterobacteriaceae. The record is from RNAcentral.
UAUCUCUCCGUACGGGGAAGGAUGAGAAGCUUCGACCAAGGUUCGAUUCGAGCGCAGCGAGAAAGCGUUGCCGUAGGCAACGACCCGAAGGGCGAAGCGCGCAGCGCUGAGUCAUCC